CCGUUAACAACUACAUCCCCACUUGGCUACGUCGAUCACCUCGUCUCUCUCCUUUACACGGGGUUCCGUUUACCUCCACUGAUUUAUCUCCGUCUUCUACACCGGAGCAGCUCUCCUAUCUGGAUAUGGACCAACCAAUUGCAGCACUCCCCGCUUCAGCACACACUCUGCCCCUUCUUCUGAAGCUUAUACUCUUCUCUGGCCACUAGAUAUCUUUGUCACGUCCCCUACCUGCGCCCCGCGACAAGCGCAAUCAGAAUCAGGGCUGUGGAUGCUGGGAAACGCGCCCCGGAGAUCUUCUCCAAGAGAAUCACGUCACUGAGGUCCUGUAUACUGUAACUACUGUAACUGGUAGUUUUUGUUAAACGAGAAAAAGAUUAAUAUGUGUAUUUAUGACCACUCUUCAACUGCUAAUGACAUUUCGAUAAGAGGUUUAGUAAAUGAGAUACUGGCUCUGCGAUUGCUGGCAAUGUUGAUAGACGAUGUACCAAUCUUAUCUCUAUGGCAUUUGUUACCGGAAACAUCUGUAUAUAUCUUUGUUUCUCCAUUCAAACGGAUUAUUAUGGACCACCGAUGCGCUUUAUCGCUCUAUCCUUUGGGAUGCUUUUCUUCUUUAAUUUUUUUAUUGCUUCCUUUCUACAACCAAUUUAAAUUAACAAAUAAGUACGUACUGUUGACGGCGGGGUAAUGAAGGAUUCAAAGAUAAAGUUAAUGAGUAUGGUGAUGAUAGAGGAGCUCGUGAUGCAUAAAAAUAUUAUUCAAGAUACAGCUUGGUAUGUCCAUAAUUGAUCAAAGCGCCGCGAAUAAAGUUACAUAUAUUUAAAGUACGUAUGUGUUGUAAGGCGCGCGAUCGCCUCACGCGUACUUUAAACCUUAUUGUUUCAAUUGGCUUCUCUCAAUCUCGUGAGUACACACAUGUAAGCUGUAAGCUUCGAUUGACCACUCUUUACAUAGCCUGCCUCAUAUUCUCUUCACAAUACUCUUGAUUAAUAUUAACAUUUUAAUAAUUAAAAAAAAAAAGUAAUCUACGGAGGAUUUUCACUUUUAUUGCAUCUUAUUUAUGUUAUAGAUUUUUCCAGUUAAGUGCUAAUGAGCAAUUGCAAGUGAUUUAAUUUCAUUGAAAAGGUUUUUAAACUUGAGAAAAAAGCUUUACAAAUCAAUGUGACCAUUCGUCGUAGCACAGCGACGACGACGGAAAGGGGGAGAAGAGCGUUGGCGUCGGAUACUAUUAUUAGUAUGCAGCUGCCGACGAAUUACUGAAUGAAAACGAUGAGUCCGUUGGCCCAUCUCGCCACUUUAUCAAGAUUUUUUCUUAUGUAUUUUAUCACGUGAUGCAUAAGUAUAUGAAUAAGAUUCAUCUCGCUCUCCAAUCGAAAUCCAUCGAGUUUAUGACGCACA
Cotesia glomerata is the source of this 1398-nucleotide long non-coding RNA. RefSeq lists it as uncharacterized. Lineage: Eukaryota; Metazoa; Arthropoda; Insecta; Hymenoptera; Braconidae. The record is from RefSeq and is a predicted model, not a curated record. The transcript is spliced from 5 exons.